ACACACACACACACACACACACACACACACACAACACACACACACACACACACACACACACACACACACCAUAUCUUUCCCUCUCUCUCUUUCUUUCUCUGAUGAUGGAAGAGAACCCUAUAUUAUCAAUGAGGUCCUUUAACUCCAGAGAUAGGAAACUAUCCUUGAACUCUUGCGAUAGGAAACUAUACAAUUGAUUCAAAAACAACUUUCAAAACAAAAACAACUUUAAGCCCAAGAGUCAGUCAACUGGACAUCUAAGUAGUUGGUUUUUCUGUCUUUCUACCUCAGUCAAGACCCUCCCUGAGGUAUUGGAGUGUCUGGGGGUACAUUCUAUUUCCCAGAACUUCUGCCCUCCCUGAGGUAUUGGAGUGUCUGGGGGUACAUUCUAUUUCCCAGAACUUCUGCCCUCCCUGAGGUAUUGGAGUGUCUGGGGGUACAUUCUAUUUCCCAGAACUUCUGCCCUCCCUGAGGUAUUGGAGUGUCUGGGGGUACAUUCUAUUUCCCAGAACUUCUGCCCUCCCUGAGGUAUUGGAGUGUCUGGGGGUACAUUCUAUUUCCCAGAACUUCUGCCCUCCCUGAGGUAUUGGAGUGUCUGGGGGUACAUUCUAUUUCCCAGAACUUCUGCCCUCCCUGAGGUAUUGGAGUGUCUGGGG
This is a long non-coding RNA of Oncorhynchus tshawytscha (Chinook salmon), 656 nucleotides long. RefSeq lists it as uncharacterized. Lineage: Eukaryota; Metazoa; Chordata; Actinopteri; Salmoniformes; Salmonidae. The transcript has 3 exons. The record is from RefSeq and is a predicted model, not a curated record.